Molecule: long non-coding RNA, 667 nt
Filed under: Parus major (Great Tit)
Lineage: Eukaryota; Metazoa; Chordata; Aves; Passeriformes; Paridae
Description: lncRNA (ENSPMJG00000010534.1)
Source: RNAcentral
GACCUUCACAGGAAUAUACCUUGUGCUUUGUGACAAGCUAUGACAAGGCCUUCAGGUUUGUCAGGAUGUUCCUCCCAUCCCCUCCCUUCUCCUCUACAAUAUUCUGGAGUUGCUCAAACCUGUAUUUGAACAAAAGGCAUUUGAAGCAGCUGCAUCUGAAUGGAAAUUGGACAGGUUUCAAACAAAGAGGAAGACACAUGCUGACCUUCAUGGUCACAUCAGAUCCCAGUCUGCCCCCUUCACCAUGUUUUCUUGGAUGCACAGAUUUAUUCCUACAGGAAACAGCCAGAAUCACCUCCUGGAAAUUUGUCUCACAAUAUGUGCUGGUAUUUUAGCCUAGCAUUGAGGUGCUGCUAAAGAUUUUGAUUUUCCAGUGAAGAUAGGGGAACUUUAUUUUAUUCUGCAAAUAACAGAAUGGAACUCUGCAUCUCUUUCCAAGGCAAAGUAACACAAGGUGUGAUGUUAUCUGUUAGAGUUAUAGCAAAACAAAAAACAAAUGAGGUCUGGUGAGCCUUCUGAGACUAUAAUACUUUUCCAGUUAGCAACUAAUUAAGAAAGAAAUAAUUUUCAGAGGAUCAAGAGAAAUCAAAGAAAGGAAAAAAAAACAUCAGAUAAUUUCCUCUGCAGACUUUUCUAAUUUCAUUUAUUUUCUAAAAUACAAUCCUUU